Molecule: ribosomal RNA, 253 nt
Filed under: uncultured bacterium
Lineage: Bacteria
Description: partial 16S ribosomal RNA
Rfam family: Bacterial small subunit ribosomal RNA
Source: RNAcentral
GACGUAGGGCGCGAGCGUUGUCCGGAUUUAUUGGGCGUAAAGAGCUCGUAGGCGGCUCGUUGCGUCGGCUGUGAAAACCCGCAGCUCAACUGUGGGCUUGCAGCUGAUACGGGCGGGCUGGGAUUCGGUAGGGGAGACUGGAAUUCCUGGUGUAGCGGUGAAAUGCGCAGAUAUCAGGAGGAACACCGGUGGCGAAGGCGGGUCUCUGGGCCGAUAUCGACGCUGAGGAGCGAAAGCGUGGGUAGCAAACAGG